Molecule: non-coding RNA, 1816 nt
Organism: Camellia sinensis
Lineage: Eukaryota; Viridiplantae; Streptophyta; Magnoliopsida; Ericales; Theaceae
Source: RefSeq, a predicted model, not a curated record
GAGAAAGUUUGAAAGAGAGAAAAAAGUGAUAGAAUUUGGUGGUGGUGGCCUUUCAGCUGUGAUUUAGCUGUCUCUCUCUCUCCUCUCUUUCUCACACGCUCCCCCAAAAUCCCUAGAAAAAUCCCUCCUCAUUUUCUCUCUCCCCAAACACCCAACCCAAAUCUCCUGCUCUCUCCUCAGAUCUCCCUCCCAUUAGAGCAUUUCCAACCAUUCUUCCUAAAAUGACUCCUCAAAGUAUACAGAGCAGCAUUUAUGGGCUAUUGCUAUUGAUUUUUGUGGCUGAAUGGUUAGUAAAUACACGUGUUCUAAGGGCUGCAGCACGAUAUUAAAGUGGCGAGGGUUUGGGAGUAAUUAAACAAGAAAUAAUGAAAGCGCAAGGGCUGUUCUGGGAAACAGUCUUUUGCAAGUCUAUCCUCCAUGAAUUUCCAGUCUUUUGCAAGUCUAUCCUCUCUGAAUAUGCAGUCAAGAUGCAUCUGGAGAAACCCACUUACAACACAACUCGGUCAGUGGGGUUGCUGCCACUUCGUGUAUCUGCUUUGGUAUUCAAUAGUGUUACUUACACUGGCGAGGCAGGCAAAAACAAGGAGGCUGAACAGUUGGCAGCAUGGAAAGUUAUCCUGUCAAUUUUGGAUACUUCCGACUCAAGAACUGUCAUCACUGAGAUCAUCAAGUCUAUAGUGAAGGUUAAUGAAGGAGACUCCACCCAGAGUGGCAUUAAUCCUGUGGCAGAGAGCACUACAGGAACUAUUGUUUUUGUGUCUCCAGCGCAAGCCCUCGAACAACCCCUGGAUGUUGGUUCAAGUUCUACCAAAAAACGACGUAAGAAGGCUAAAAAGAAAUCUCGGGACGAUGCUCAGUGAGUAAUGUCUUUUAUUGAUCAAAACAUUUUUUUUUACCAAGGUCAUUAUUUCGGUUUAUGAUCCUUUGGUAUGAUGUUCCAACUUAUAUUUGAGCUUUUGAGUUUCAUUGUCAUGUUUAGCGACUUCUAUGACCCCUGCUGCAUCUUCUGUGCUCAUUUUGCAUUUGCAUAUGGUUUCACAAUUGUAGCAUUUGGUAUGAUGGAAAAUGUUUUCCAUUACGGAAAACAAGUUUAUUUGGACGGAAAACUGUUUUUCAUUUUUGAAAGAUGGAAAACGUUUUUUGGACCAUUACAAACACUAUUCUACACCAUACCACCCCACCCCUACACCACCUCUGCCACUGCCACACCUCCACCACUACCUCUGCAAAUACAAAAUGAGCACAGAAGAUGCAGCAGGGGUCACAGAAGUCGCCAAACAUGACAGUGGAACUCAAAAGCACAAAUAUAAGUUGGAACAUUAUACCAGAGGAUCAUAAACCGAAAUAAUGACAUUGGUAAAAAAAAAUGUUUUGAUCAAUAAAAGACAUUACUCACUGAGCAUCGUCCUGAGAUUUCUUUUUAGCCUUCUUACGUCGUUUUUUGGUAGAACUUGAACCAACAUCGAGGGAUCUCCACCACCACUAGUACAUUAGUUUUGAGGACGCAACCAAACAUAAAAAAAAUAUUUUCAGUUGAAACAAAUGGAGCAAUAGUUUUUGCACUACCGUUGCCAGUUGCUGUGGUGGCUUAAAGUCAAAUUCCUUCUUGUUCAGUUUCAAGUUGCUGUGCAAUGUUGCUUUGAAUGAAGACCAUCCCUUGUCUUAAGUGUACUAUUUCUUGUUUUUUUUUUUGAACCGUACUUUUUCUUGUUGGAUGUUGAAUUUUUUUCCAGUAAUAUAUCAGAUAUGUAUCAGAUAUUUGAGACAAAUCUUACAUUAUCGAUUAAUGUGUUGUUGGUCAUCUGUUGUAGUUUAA